CCCUUGUAGGGCAGGUUCUUCACGGCGUCGAUCACGGCCUCCUUGGUGCUGUGGGUGUUGAGGUGCCACUCGAUCCUGGGGUCUCCACUGUACUGGGCCAGACCUGUGGGUCAACACCAGAGGAAGUCUCAGCACCGCAAAGGCUCGGACCAGGUUCUCAAGGAAGGUCCUGACCAGCCUGAAGUUGAUCCGACCGAUGCUCCAGGAGCCGUCCACCAGGAUGACGAUGUCGGCGACGGCCGGGGUCUUACACAUGAAGCCCACGUUGGCUGCAGAGACGGAGAGACACAGGGUCAGAACCUGGGCCACGGGGAAAACAUCUGGCCUUCAGCCUCACCUUGACUGUGGAUGUUUCCUGUGUGAAAAAGAAGACGCUGCAGAGUGACAGCUGAGCUGCAGCAGUUGUAAAGUGUCUAAGAACAAGGAGCUGGACCUCCGUCCACCGGUCACCUGUCGAGGGACAAGGAGGAACCAAUCACCAGUCUGGGGCGUGUCCUAAUGUCAGCAGAUGUUAUUCAUGAACAAGCGACAACCGCCUCUGAUCCACC
This is a long non-coding RNA of Cynoglossus semilaevis (tongue sole), 548 nucleotides long. RefSeq lists it as uncharacterized. The transcript is spliced from 4 exons. The record is from RefSeq and is a predicted model, not a curated record. Lineage: Eukaryota; Metazoa; Chordata; Actinopteri; Pleuronectiformes; Cynoglossidae.